This 92-nucleotide transfer RNA is filed under the name Helobdella robusta. RNAcentral describes it as "tRNA-Tyr for anticodon GUA". It matches the Rfam family "tRNA". From Rfam's summary of the family: Transfer RNA (tRNA) molecules are approximately 80 nucleotides in length. Their secondary structure includes four short double-helical elements and three loops (D, anti-codon, and T loops). Further hydrogen bonds mediate the characteristic L-shaped molecular structure. tRNAs have two regions of fundamental functional importance: the anti-codon, which is responsible for specific mRNA codon recognition, and the 3' end, to which the tRNAs corresponding amino acid is attached (by aminoacyl-tRNA synthetases). tRNAs cope with the degeneracy of the genetic code in two manners: having more than one tRNA (with a specific anti-codon) for a particular amino acid; and 'wobble' base-pairing, i.e. permitting non-standard base-pairing at the 3rd anti-codon position. The record is from Rfam by way of RNAcentral. Lineage: Eukaryota; Metazoa; Annelida; Clitellata; Rhynchobdellida; Glossiphoniidae.
CCCGUGAUAGCUCAGUUGGUAGAGCGGAGGACUGUAGUGUUGUGAUUACCAUUGAUAUCCUUAGGUCGGCGGUUCGACUCCGUCUCGCGGGA